GACGAACGCUGGCGGCGUGCUUAACACAUGCGAGUCGAACGGAAAGGCCCUGCUUUUGUGGGGUGCUCGAGUGGCGAACGGGUGAGUAACACGUGAGUAACCUGCCCUUGACUUUGGGAUAACUUCAGGAAACUGGGGCUAAUACCGGAUAGGAGCUCCUGCUGCAUGGUGGGGGUUGGAAAGUUUCGGCGGUUGGGGAUGGACUCGCGGCUUAUCAGCUUGUUGGUGGGGUAGUGGCUUACCAAGGCUUUGACGGGUAGCCGGCCUGAGAGGGUGACCGGCCACAUUGGGACUGAGAUACGGACCAGACUGCUACGGGAGGCAGCAGUGGGGAAUAUUGCACAAUGGGCGGAAGCCUGAUGCAGCAACGCCGCGUGCGGGAUGACGGCCUUCGGGUUGUAAACCGCUUUCGCCUGUGACGAAGCGUGAGUGACGGUAAUGGGUAAAGAAGCACCGGCUAACUACGUG
This 468-nucleotide ribosomal RNA is filed under the name uncultured bacterium. RNAcentral describes it as "partial 16S ribosomal RNA". It matches the Rfam family "Bacterial small subunit ribosomal RNA", at positions 28 to 507 of the family's 1533-position model. The record is from RNAcentral.